UCCCUGGUGGCUCAGUGGUAAAGAAUCUGCCUGCAAUGCAGGAGACACGGGUUCAAUCCCUGAGUUGGGAA
Molecule: transfer RNA, 71 nt
Filed under: Bos taurus (domestic cattle)
Lineage: Eukaryota; Metazoa; Chordata; Mammalia; Artiodactyla; Bovidae
Also listed under: 3 other names
Rfam family: tRNA
About the family: Transfer RNA (tRNA) molecules are approximately 80 nucleotides in length. Their secondary structure includes four short double-helical elements and three loops (D, anti-codon, and T loops).
Source: Rfam by way of RNAcentral